CCAAGACUACACAGAGAAACCCUGCAUUUCUCAAAAACAAAAACAAACAAACAAAAAAACCAAAACAAACCAAAAAUGCUUUGAAGAAUUCAAGUCACCAGAUUUCCUUGGCGUUUCACAUGCCUGCUUCCUUAACAGUGGCCACUGGAUUAGGUGGUGCUAAACCCCAGCUAAUGCCUGGUACUAUUCACUGGGUGGUUGUUCAUACUUUAAAAAUUACUAAAAAUGAGCUUUUAUAACAAUUUUUAGUGUUUUAUAAGAUGUCAGGUUUUUUAUGAUAUGUAUUGACAGUUUUCUUUAUGGAGUAUUCAUCACUUGUUUGGUCUUCAUUUGUAAAGUCAUCUUAGUGCCUGCUCUGCAUUCCACAGUAAGCUGACACAUGCUACAGUGUGCACAUGCUACAGGACCCACAGCAGGGUCCAUCCUUUACACUUCAGGUGGUGGGGGUACCUCGUGGUAUUUGCAAAGGAAUUUGGAACUUUUCAGGUUAUAUUGCUGAUAUAUUGUGAUCAUCUGCAAGUUCCACUGGUUUUAUAUCUUUUUAGUGCUUUUCCACAGAAAUGAGUGGACUCAAAUUAGCUAAAACCAGUUUGUUCUACAUAGCCAUACAUAAUAUGUGAGAAUUAUAUUUUAAUACAUUUAAUAAAAUGAUGGUUAAAUAUUUUAUCCUUGUAUACCAGAGUAAACAGGGAACAGGUUUGGAGAGACAAUUAUUAGCUCUGUGGAGUAUUACAAACUUAAUAUAUUGUUUUGUAUAGAAACUCAAUGUUUUUACUAUUUCCCUAAUACCCUAUGCCAUUUUUACUAUCCUUUCUGGUUCUUAACCUCUCGCAGUCUCCCGUCUACAGGCAGGCCUGCCUGUUCUACUCAGUUCUGAGCUGCUUUUAUCUAGAACAGCUGGAGUUCCAGGAAUGCUCCUCUGGGAUAGAAGUACUUUUGGCCACAUUAAUGCUGGUUCAGUUAGGCCACUUGACUGCUGGAAUGGUUGGCUCAUUUUGUUUUUGCUUUUGUUUUUAUUUGUCCUUCCAUAGUUCUUUUGACCAUCACAGUCAAAAACAAAAUCAACUAGGUAUUAAUAUAUAUAGGAAUAAUACAGAGUUUGGGGUCCUUCAAAAUAAUUUGACUACCUUGUUAAAGUGAUUUAGAGUUAAGAGUGUUGGCAUGUACCUUGUCCUAGUAUUGGGAAUGCAAGGUACAUGGUCAUGAGUUAGAAGUUAAACCUUUCUUGGAAGUCUGAAAUCUAAAAGCUUCGAAAUCUGAAACUUGAGGCCAUUGGCAUGAUGCCACAAGUAGAAAUCCCACCUAACUGAGGGCUAACAGUUAAAGCAGGGGCAUCAGAAUGCUAUGCAUUGCUUCCUUCGUAUGUAAAACCUGCAGGAAUCGCUUUUCCUAGAUCUGUCAUUUGCUGACUGUGGCAGCAAGCUCCAGUAGAUCAAUUAAUUCCAGCCUGAUCUACACAGUGGACUUUAGGGUAGCCCCAGGGCUACAUAGUGAAGCCCUAUCUAAUCAACAAAAACAAAACCCACUUACUAUACAUAUACAAACAUCCCUGAAUUCUACUAAAAAUUGUAGGAUCCAAAACAUUUCCACGCAGUGUGCCAUUGGAUGUUUAAUGUGAAGUAAACAUUAAUUUAAUAGAAAUAUUUGGGGCUGUUAGGCCACUCUGAUGAAGCAAUAAAAGGAACUAUAUAUAUAUAUAUAUACAUAUAUAUAUAUGACCAGAUAGCAUCUCAUAAGACAUGUUGGGACCUGGGAAGUAGGUACAAGGCUGUAGAAAGUCAGACUGGGACUGUAGAUCUAUUUAAGAGUUAUUGAGAUUCUUGGCAGGGUAUUCAUGCUGGUUAAGUCUUGCGUUGUGAUUUGUGCCUCUAGUCCCAGCAGCUUGGGAGGAAGGCAUGGCAAGAGUUCAGAGCCAGUUUGGUGCUAAGCCUUAAGCCUGAUCUCUGUGACCCCCAUGGUGGAAGGAAAGAACUGACUUCCCAGAUCUCUGAUUUUCACAAUUUGCAUUGUAUACACUAACCCAACAUGAAUGUAAAAAUAUUAAAGGCAUUUGGAUUUGGUUUUAAGAUAACUUGCUACUUGGAUUGAUUUCAAUUUGAAGCGCCUUACAGUCCAAGCAGAGAAGAAUUAAGGCUUUAUGGGCUGAGAGUAGAGAAGUCAACAUCUGCCAGUUGGUACAGGGUAGAACAUAUGGGAGCAUGCACAAAGAUUGGAGCCCAAGCAACACAGAAGACCUGUGGAUUAAUUAUUACUGAAUUAUGGUUAGGACUUUGGUUAGUUGCCUGUUGGGAGUCUAUGGGAAAGAAAGGGAAGGGCUGAUGUUUGGCUUUUUUAAGUCAAAUUAUGAUAAUUAGAAUCAAUGUCAUGAUGGAAGGUUCUUGCAACAUUUAAAAGUAUUUACCACAUAAAAAUUGAUGCUUAGGGAAAAAUACCUUCUCUUAUUGUCAUUAGUAAAAGACGUAGCAAUUGGGCUAGAGAAAUGGCUCAGUGGUGAAGAGUACGUGCUACUCUAGCAGAGGACCCCUGUUCAGUUCGCAGCACCCAUGUCUGCAAUCUCACAACCAGCUUCUGACGAUCCAGCAAACCUUUUUGUCCCCUCUGGGAAGUGCAUUCAUGUAUACAAAUAUACCCGGACACAUAUACAUAGUUAAACAGAAUUUCAAAAGGUAGCUGACGAUAAUGAAAAGGUGAGACACACUGGGCUGUGGUGGCACACUCCUUUAAUCCCAGCGUUUAUGAUGCAGAGGUAGGUGCAUCUCUGAGUUGGAGGCCAGCCUCGUCUACAGCCAGGACUACACAAACACUGUCUUGAAAAGCCAAAAAGGAGGGGGGAAUAAAAGGUGAGACUGAUCACUUGCUGGUAAAAUGUUUGUAGCUGAACAGUGCUGACAUGUUCAAUAAACAUGCAUGUAAAAACGUGGCACCGUGUUGAGGCUGUGUUUACUUGGAUCCAUGGAAGACCUUCCCUCAGAAAACUGCAGCUGCUCACAGUGUGCUCCAGAUGGUGUGUUUAUAAUACAUGCUCUUGUUUUUGAUGAGUUAGUUUUCAGCAUGAGGAAACUAAAAAUCAGAGUAGACUAACUUUGUUCAUAAGUUAGGUAUAGAAUGCCACAUAACUAGUUCCUGUCUGCUGGCCUCCCUACCUCACUAUUCAGGGGUAGCAUUACUGGUCUUCUGUGUAUUCCAUAAGUUUUCAUGCAGGCAUAGGACACUUGAUAAAUUUCAGGACAUACAUAUGACACACAUAUUGUACAUUAUUUCUCUGCAAUAUUUUAAACUUAUUUCAGACCUCAUGAUAGGCUGUCUUAUAUACUCAAAAGGUCUUUGGAACAGUUAUGUGUGCCCCCGUUCUACCAUAUGUGGGCAUGUGUUGUGCGAAAUUGUUCAUAGAAUAAACAGUGGAGCGACUUAGUUAUUUGGGUCAUAAAUUCCUUUUGAUGUCUAUUCUAACUGAUGGGAUUUUUUUAUUCUCUAUUAUUCCAACCAGUUUAGAACCUAAGAUCAGUAGAGAUAUUGGCAAAGCAUUUCCAAAGCUCUUGGUCAUUCUCAUCAUGGAAGCCUCUUUAGAUGUUUCUUUUCUAAUUUGCUCCCAUGUAAUGAAGUUGACAACCCAAAUCACUGCUUGUGAGCUGGUUUGUAUAUGUGGUUCGAAUAAGACAUUUUACUCCCACCUACUCCUGCUCAAAGUAUAAUCCACCUCCUUGUCACUGGAGAUAUUUGUGAUGAUUUUGCCUGAGAGAUGAGAAAACACUGGGUGUGGGCCAGUUUGUAUUUUAGGUCGUUAUUUCUGGAGAAUAAACUGGAAGAAGGCCAGGAUGAAAAGCAAGAGGGUGAGAGGUGGCAGCAGCGAUGUGGAAGAUCGUGACAAGGGAUGGAAGACAAAAUGGGCCCAGCAUUAAUUUGGAAAUAAGCCAGGUGUGGUUGUGGGCCCCUUUAAUCCUAGCACUUGGAAGGCAGGCAGAGGUAGGUGUAUCACUGAGUGCCAGGCCAGCCUGAAACAGAGUAGUUAGUGCCUGUCUUCAAGAACAAAGUGGAGUUGGGUGGCCGUGGUGGCACGUGCCUUUAAUCCUAGCACUCGGAGGUAGAGACAGGCAGUCUGUGGAGGGAGUUCCAAGACAGGCUCCAAAGCUGCAGGAAACCCUGUCCUCAAAACCAAAUUUAAAAAUAAAGUGAUGUCUUCUGGAGGAUGAUUGUGAAACUUAGACAAAACUGAACUGCGUAAUGAAACUGUCCCCAAAACUUAAAACAGAAAAUCUAGGCCUAGAAGGUACUAAAGAGCCUUGGACCUGCUCCCCUAGACAAGGAGAAAUGGGUUGGGGGUCCUGCAGAGAAAGGAAACCCAAGUGAGAAAUGAGAUGGUUGCUGUUAACCUUGAGAUCCUUUGUAGUUUUUGUCUGUCUGGGUUUGUUUUGUGGUCACUUCAUCUAAGAAGAGAAAGAGUUUGGAGUGGGUGAAACCUCAGGCUUAUUUCCUCAGCCCUGCUCUGCUCUGCUCUUAGCAGUUCUGUCCUCGCUCUAGCAUUGGGUUGUGAGUGUUUUCCCUUCUAGCUCCCCGUCGAAUUAAAUUUUUGUUGUUGUUUUGGUUUUUGGUUUUGUUUUAGGAGACAGGGUUUCUAGUGUGGCUUUGGAACCUGGCCUGGAACUUGCUCUGUAUACCAGCCUGCCCUCGGACUCAAAGAGGUUGUUAAGACCACAUGAAACUGCUGAAAUUCCAGACAAUGGUCUAAUGUAGAAGAGCUUAAAGCCAGCCCUAGCUGGCCUGGAAGUCUGAAACCAAUCUGGCCUCAAGUUCAUCUGCCUCCACCUGCUAAUGCUGGGAUUAAAGGAAAUUCCAUAGUCUCUUGGAACAGAUUUGUCUGAAGGCAUGCACUUGUCUGCAGGAUCGCUGCUCAGGUGUGGUGCUGUUGACCAGCAGGGAGGGUGUUGCCUGAGACCUAAGAAGCAACUACAUGCAGGACACAAAAGGAUCAAAGAAAGGCUUGUGCCACCACAGCAUGGCCUAUGUAGCCUUCAAAGAGGGAUAAAAUACAUUUUUUUUUUAAAGCUUGUAAGUGGUCUUGUCAUUAAAGCACCUGCUUUAUAGUAUAGAUUAAAAGGAAACAUAGAAAAGAAAUACAGAAAGAACAUAAAGGAAGCUAAAUUACUGUCUGAUGUACUUUUAAAUAUAACAAAAGUGGCAUGAGUCUACUCUCAUCACAAACUAGGAAAAUGCCAUUUCAUUGGGUAUGGUGAGUGUAAGAGUUGGCACAACCUUGGACAGGGCUUGGUGGUGCACUUGGAGACAGGCAGAUUCUCUUAAUUUGAGGACAGUUUGGUCUGCAUAGUGAAUUCCAAGAGAGACAGGGCUCAAAUAAAAAGGUAUAUUGUAUAUAGAGCCACUGGAUUUGAGAAGAUCUACACAGGUAAAAAUGUAUUGACUGCUCAAGGCUUGGUGAGUCUAGUUCAACAAAUUAUUUUCUUUAGGGCUGAAAUCUUUCCCUACUCUCCCAGGGUUUCUCUUUUUAGCCUUGGCUGUCCUCGAACUCACAGAGAACUAACUACCUGCCUCUGCCUCCUGAAUGCUAGGAUUCAAGACUGAGCCACCACUGCCCGGUGGGCUGAAACCUCUUAAAAAGCACACAGACAAAUAAUACAAGGUGACCCAGGCCUGGUAGGACAUGCCUAUAAUCCUGAAGCAGGAUUAUAGGAUGGAGCCAGCAGGUAUUCUGUAGGAAGAGCUUGUCUAAACAAUGCCUGUGUGUACAUGUAUGACAUUCCUAUUUACUGAUGGAAGUUUUGUGUCUUACAGGUCACAGGCUUUGGGGGAAAAAAAAAAGACCUGAAUGGCCCAGCAAUUUGCCAUAAGACAUAUUUCUACAACUCAGGAUUUUUUAUUUUGUUCAGACAGGUUCUCGGUUAAGUUUCCAACUCAUAUGUAGCCAAACAUGUCCUUGAGCUUCUUCCUUGCCUCCUUUUCUUCACUUUGGUCAGUGUAUUCACUGUACAAAGCAAUGCACAGUAAGCUCUCCUGCUUCCAUGCUGUGACUGCAGCUGACUCCCCAUCUCCAAGAGUAUCCAAUUCAUUUUAGUUGCAUAGUAAUGAAUUGUUAGGAAAGGGUGCAUGCUAUGGGUAGGCAUGGCUGACCCUGAACUAGUUAGCCAGGAGCCACCAUAGCCCAGCUUGAAUCUGUUUUUUUCAAAGACUACUCAAAAGACUAGUAGAAAAUUUCAAGUUCAAAAGCUUUUAAUUAAAUAGUUCUCAUAUGUACUGUUCCACACUGUGGAAAUAAACUAUGCAGAACAUCGAACAUUCGAACAAUGGCACAAACACAUAUAGACUAUGUAUUUAUAAAGGCCCUGUUGUCCUUACCAGGCAACAAACAGGCCUAAAUUGCAAGUUUAUAGGGGAAACUAUAUUUGAACAUUUCAGAUGCGCCAGGAUUCCACACUGUUUCAAAGACAGAUCUGGUCUCAGUCCUCAGGUCAGUGCAGCUGCACUCUGUAUGCACCUAUUAACAACUUGACCUAAAAAGAAAAUGAGUGUUAGUACACAUGAAAGCUCCCACCUUGUAAGAAUAUUGAGUUGCUAUUUUUAGUUAAAAAGUGGCUGUAUUAAAAAAAAAAAUCCAGCUUCCUUUCAUAAGGAGAUCGUGCCUAGCCAUAAUGGCAGAUUAGUACUCAAGUCAGGACUGGAAUGUUCUACAGGGAUGCCCUCAGAGAGCCAACAUCCCUGCCCUAGAUUCGUCUGGACCCUGAGCACUGACAACCUGAGCAGUUACCCUAAAUAUGAAGCAAAGAUUUUCACCUUGGCAAAGGGUGAUUCCGUCAACCUUAUAAACAACUUAUUGGGGCCGGCGACAGGGCUGAACGAGUAAACAAAGUGACUAUCC
Myodes glareolus (Bank vole) is the source of this 6868-nucleotide non-coding RNA. The record is from RefSeq and is a predicted model, not a curated record. NCBI's taxonomy places the organism in Eukaryota, Metazoa, Chordata, Mammalia, Rodentia, Cricetidae.